CGGGACGUAGCGCAGUUGGUAGCGCGCUUGGUUUGGGACCAAGAGGUCUAGGGUUCGAAUCCCUACGUCCCGACCA
This 76-nucleotide transfer RNA is filed under the name candidate division SR1 bacterium. Its description in RNAcentral is "tRNA-Pro". It matches the Rfam family "tRNA". Rfam says of the family: Transfer RNA (tRNA) molecules are approximately 80 nucleotides in length. Lineage: Bacteria; Candidatus Absconditibacteriota. The record is from RNAcentral.